AGGAAACUCGGCUAGGAGGUUCUGCAGGCCAGCAGGUUGCUGUCAGACCUGAAGCAAGAGCAGGGCCCUGCCGCAGGCCGGUCCCUUAAUGGCCAUUUGUAUUGGAUCAAGUUCAUAAGGAUUUGCAGAGUUCCUCCAGGGCCUCUGUGAGGGUGAAGAACCAAGCUCUGCCAACCACAGGUUCUCAAGGAACAUUUGUCUGCUGUGGAAUUAAUCAGAAGUCACGCCCUCCCUCCCUCUGACAGCUGCAGGGGGAGAGGGUGGAGGAAUUAUCCAGGGAAUG
This is a long non-coding RNA of Balaenoptera ricei (Rice's whale), 283 nucleotides long. RefSeq lists it as uncharacterized. NCBI's taxonomy places the organism in Eukaryota, Metazoa, Chordata, Mammalia, Artiodactyla, Balaenopteridae. The record is from RefSeq and is a predicted model, not a curated record. The transcript has 3 exons.